UACAGAGGUGGCAAGCGUUGUUCGGAAUUACUGGGCGUAAAGGGCGCGUAGGCGGCCUUCUAAGUCAGACGUGAAAUCCCCCGGCUUAACCUGGGAACUGCGUCUGAUACUGGAGGGCUUGAGUGCGGGAGAGGGAUGCGGAAUUCCAGGUGUAGCGGUGAAAUGCGUAGAUAUCUGGAGGAACACCGGUGGCGAAGGCGGCAUCCUGGACCGACACUGACGCUGAGGCGCGAAAGCUAGGGUAGCAAACGGG
Molecule: ribosomal RNA, 253 nt
Filed under: uncultured bacterium
Lineage: Bacteria
Description: partial 16S ribosomal RNA
Rfam family: Bacterial small subunit ribosomal RNA
Source: RNAcentral